Molecule: unclassified non-coding RNA, 218 nt
Filed under: Hevea brasiliensis (rubber tree)
Lineage: Eukaryota; Viridiplantae; Streptophyta; Magnoliopsida; Malpighiales; Euphorbiaceae
Source: RNAcentral
AAAUCACCAAAUAUAGCCAGCAGGAGUUUGAGAGACUUCAAAAUGAAGAACUUAAUUAUCCCAAUCCUUCUUACCCCACGACACACAGGUAGCUCACUCAUUCAGCACCCCAUUUGCAACGCCAUACGAAGCUCGUCUGUCUCAAUUGCUCCGUAGCCAGAACUUGAAUAUCCUUUUGUUGAUUCUAUCCUCCUCUGGUUAUUGUUGCAUCAUUAUUG